Molecule: ribosomal RNA, 745 nt
Filed under: bacterium enrichment culture clone B8
Lineage: Bacteria
Description: bacterial SSU rRNA
Rfam family: Bacterial small subunit ribosomal RNA
Source: RNAcentral
GAGUUUGAUCCUGGCUCAGAUUGAACGCUGGCGGCAGGCCUAACACAUGCAAGUCGAGCGGAUGAUGGGAGCUUGCUCCCGGAUUCAGCGGCGGACGGGUGAGUAAUGCCUAGGAAUCUGCCUGGUAGUGGGGGACAACGUUUCGAAAGGAACGCUAAUACCGCAUACGUCCUACGGGAGAAAGCAGGGGACCUUCGGGCCUUGCGCUAUCAGAUGAGCCUAGGUCGGAUUAGCUAGUUAGUGGGGUAAAGGCCUACCAAGGCGACGAUCCGUAACUGGUCUGAGAGGAUGAUCAGUCACACUGGAACUGAGACACGGUCCAGACUCCUACGGGAGGCAGCAGUGGGGAAUAUUGGACAAUGGGCGAAAGCCUGAUCCAGCCAUGCCGCGUGUGUGAAGAAGGUCUUCGGAUUGUAAAGCACUUUAAGUUGGGAGGAAGGGCAGUAAGUUAAUACCUUGCUGUUUUGACGUUACCAACAGAAUAAGCACCGGCUAACUUCGUGCCAGCAGCCGCGGUAAUACGAAGGGUGCAAGCGUUAAUCGGAAUUACUGGGCGUAAAGCGCGCGUAGGUGGUUUGGUAAGAUGGAUGUGAAAUCCCCGGGCUCAACCUGGGAACUGCAUCCAUAACUGCCUGACUAGAGUACGGUAGAGGGUGGUGGAAUUUCCUGUGUAGCGGUGAAAUGCGUAGAUAUAGGAAGGAACACCAGUGGCGAAGGCGACCACCUGGACUGAUACUGACACUGA